GGCCCUAUCGUCUAGUGGACCAGGACGCCGGGUUCUCAGCUCGGUAACUGGGGUUCGAAUCCCCAUAGGGCUA
RNAcentral lists this transfer RNA (73 nucleotides) under Thermodesulfobium narugense DSM 14796. It matches the Rfam family "tRNA". From Rfam's summary of the family: Transfer RNA (tRNA) molecules are approximately 80 nucleotides in length. Their secondary structure includes four short double-helical elements and three loops (D, anti-codon, and T loops). The record is from Rfam by way of RNAcentral. RNAcentral also lists the same sequence under 1 other name. Lineage: Bacteria; Pseudomonadati; Thermodesulfobiota; Thermodesulfobiia; Thermodesulfobiales; Thermodesulfobiaceae.